UACGUAGGGUGCAAGCGUUAAUCGGAAUUACUGGGCGUAAAGCGUGCGCAGGCGGUUUUGCAAGACAGAUGUGAAAUCCCCGGGCUUAACCUGGGAACUGCAUUUGUGACUGCAAGGCUAGAGUGUGUCAGAGGGGGGUAGAAUUCCACGUGUAGCAGUGAAAUGCGUAGAGAUGUGGAGGAACACCGAUGGCGAAGGCAGCCCCCUGGGUCAAGAUUGACGCUCAUGCACGAAAGCGUGGGGAGCAAACAGG
This 253-nucleotide ribosomal RNA is filed under the name uncultured bacterium. RNAcentral describes it as "partial 16S ribosomal RNA". It matches the Rfam family "Bacterial small subunit ribosomal RNA", at positions 524 to 776 of the family's 1533-position model. The record is from RNAcentral.